This 253-nucleotide unclassified non-coding RNA is filed under the name uncultured Enterobacteriaceae bacterium. RNAcentral's name for it is "contains 16S-23S intergenic spacer region". It matches the Rfam family "Bacterial small subunit ribosomal RNA", at positions 524 to 776 of the family's 1533-position model. Lineage: Bacteria; Pseudomonadati; Pseudomonadota; Gammaproteobacteria; Enterobacterales; Enterobacteriaceae. The record is from RNAcentral.
UACAGAGGAUGCAAGCGUGAUUCGGACUUACUGGGCCUAAAGCGAACGUAGGCGGUCUGUCAAGUCGGAUGUGAAAUCCCCGGGCUCAACCUGGGAACUGCAUACGAAACUGGCAGGCUAGAGUCUUGUAGAGGGGGGUAGAAUUCCAGGUGUAGCGGUGAAAUGCGUAGAGAUCUGGAGGAAUACCGGUGGCGAACGCGGCCCCCUGGACAAAGACUGACGCUCAGGUGCGAAAGCGUGGGGAGCAAACAGG